CAAGUCGAACGCGAAAGUUCCCUUCGGGGAGCGAGUAGAGUGGCGCACGGGUGAGUAACACGUAGGUAAUCUACCUUUGGAUUGGGAAUAACCACCGGAAACGGUGGCUAAUACCGAAUAAUGCAGCGGCACCUAAUGGUGACAGUUGUUAAAGCGGGGGAUCGCAAGACCUCGCGUCUGAAGAGGAGCCUGCGGCAGAUUAGCUAGUUGGUAAGGUAACGGCUUACCAAGGCAAUGAUCUGUAGCCGGCCUGAGAGGGCGGUCGGCCACACUGACACUGACAUACGGGUCAGACUCCUACGGGAGGCAGCAGUCGGGAAUUUUGGGCAAUGGGCGAAAGCCUGACCCAGCAACGCCGCGUGAAGGAUGAAAUCCUUCGGGAUGUAAACUUCGCAAGAACGGGAAGAAUAAGUAAGAGCUAACAUCUCUUAUGAUGACGGUACUGUUUGUAAGCUCCGGCUAACUCCGUGCCAGCAGCCGCGGUAAUACGGGGGGAGCAAGCGUUGUUCGGAUUUACUGGGCGUAAAGGGCGCGUAGGCGGCCACCGCAAGUCAGUUGUGAAAUCUCUGGGCUUAACCCAGAACGGUCAGCUGAUACUGCGGGGCUAGAGUGCAGAAGGGGCAACUGGAAUUCUCGGUGUAGCGGUGAAAUGCGUAGAUAUCGAGAGGAACACCUGCGGCGAAGGCGGGUUGCUGGGCUGACACUGACGCUGACAGCGCGAAAGCUAGGGGAGCGAACGGGAUUAGAUACCCCGGUAGUCCUAGCCUUAAACGAUGAAUGCUUGGUGUCUGGGGUUUUAUAG
Molecule: ribosomal RNA, 802 nt
Filed under: uncultured Actinomycetes bacterium
Lineage: Bacteria; Bacillati; Actinomycetota; Actinomycetes
Description: bacterial SSU rRNA
Rfam family: Bacterial small subunit ribosomal RNA
Source: RNAcentral